Macadamia integrifolia is the source of this 1376-nucleotide long non-coding RNA. RefSeq lists it as uncharacterized. The record is from RefSeq and is a predicted model, not a curated record. The transcript has 5 exons. NCBI's taxonomy places the organism in Eukaryota, Viridiplantae, Streptophyta, Magnoliopsida, Proteales, Proteaceae.
GGAGACCCUUGACCCUUCCUAAGACUUUGAUAGCCAGGGAGUUUGCAGACUAGACAAGCAUUGGUAUUAUGGAUGAUUAGACAUGUAUCUGCCUUAGUGAGAUUAGUGCAUGUUGGUGGAGCACUAGCCUGGGGGUAAAUCCCGGGAACAUUGUACAAGUGACCCGCUCUUUCCUAUUAUUUGCUGUGGGUUAAUGUUUGUUCAGUGAUCUCCGAGGAGGGGUGGAUAUUCACCUGGUAGCCUUCUUUCCAAGGAGGGGUGCAUACCUUUUGCAGACCCCAGACCUAUUAUCAUAUGGAGACCGAGGUCUCAAGGGAGCGGGCUACAUCCUCCAGCCCUGGUGCUUUGAGCAUCUGGAGAUUACAGCUCCCAGACUAAGGGAUCCUCGCGCAUUGCCUUUUCCCAUAGUCACGAGAUGGGGAAAUAGUCGGGCACUUAGGGGCCGGUGCUAUCCUCCAGGGACCACUGCUCGUUCUCUUCUGAACGGUCUUACAGAGGUCACUUGGAGGCUGUUCCAACCUCUCACAUUCCCAAACCCUGAUGAAGUCUCUUUGGCUAGAUAUCUAUUUGAGUAUCGGAUCCUAUUCAGGGGCAUAUGGGGCCAUGCCUAGUACUUGGGGAGAGAGUUGUACCCCAGGGGUCUAAUUUCGAGGCAUGCCUCUCUCCCUAUCUCCCUCCUCCCACUAUGCAUUGUCCAGAGUGCAUUCCUGUGGACCAGAUUGAGAGGUCGGCUGAUGGAGUAUGGGAUGAUUCAUUCCUUGAUCUAGAUAGGGACUACAAAACCUUCCUUAAGGAGGAGACAGUAUGCACCCCUCUAGGCCUUGAUGGCCUAGUGGGGAGAACAUGACGUGUAGAUCUUUCUACAGUUUAGUCACACGUCAGUGCUGCUGGUCCAUCACAAACUGGACUCUCUACUAGUGCGGGUGGGUCUCUCAGGAUAGCCACCAUCCCCUUCUAUGGCUUCCCUGGUUGGUGCUAUCCUAACGUGGCCAAUCCUAGCCUCCCUCAUCUCCUGGAGUGGAGAACAGAUGUAGAUGCUUCCCUUAGGCUGCCGAUUCCUUAUGACUAUGUAAGUAUCUGACCAUCCCUCAAUUGGCUUUCGACCUCCUUUGAUUGAUAUGCUCUUCCUAAGGUGUCUCGGAGGUCUAUUAUGAGAUCAGGAAGAUGCGUCAUGGCUUGUGUGAGGCGAUGAUCGCCAAGGAUGGAAGGAUUGUCACCUGGAGAGCCAAGUUAGCUCCUACCAGCAGGAGAAUGCCCAACAGCAUGCACUGAUUCAAGAUUUAACCCAGAGGCUAGAGAAUACUAGACUGGCAUCCCUGAGCUCCUCGUCAUUCCAUGAGGGUGACUCAGAGUACGGUUCAGAUGAUGACUUUGGU